GAUGAACGCUGGCGGCGUGCCUAAUACAUGCAAGUCGAGCGAACAGACGAGGAGCUUGCUCCUCUAACGUUAGCGGCGGACGGGUGAGUAACACGUGGAUAACCUACCUAUAAGACUGGGAUAACUUCGGGAAACCGGAGCUAAUACCGGAUAAUAUAUUGAACCGCAUGGUUCAAUAGUGAAAGACGGUUUUGCUGGCACUUAUAGAUGGAUCCGCGCCGCAUUAGCUAGUUGGUAAGGUAACAGCUUACCAAGGCAACGAUGCGUAGCCGACCUGAGAGGGUGAUCGGCCACCCUGGAACUGAGACACGGUCCAGACUCCUACGGGAGGCAGCAGUAGGGAAUCUUCCGCAAUGGGCGAAAGCCUGACGGAGCAACGCCGCGUGAGUGAUGAAGGUCUUCGGAUCGUAAAACUCUGUUAUUAGGGAAGAACAAAUGUGUAAGUAACUAUGCACGUCUUGACGGUACCUAAUCAGAAAGCCACGGCUAACUACGUG
This 497-nucleotide ribosomal RNA is filed under the name uncultured bacterium. RNAcentral describes it as "partial 16S ribosomal RNA". It matches the Rfam family "Bacterial small subunit ribosomal RNA", at positions 28 to 507 of the family's 1533-position model. The record is from RNAcentral.